RNAcentral lists this unclassified non-coding RNA (199 nucleotides) under uncultured fungus. RNAcentral describes it as "partial contains 18S rRNA, ITS1, 5.8S rRNA, ITS2 and 28S rRNA". The record is from RNAcentral. Lineage: Eukaryota; Fungi.
AAGGAUCAUUACCACAUCCAAAACUUUUUAUAAACCCACAAGUGUGAAGUUGUGAAAAGAGGGGAAACUCUCUUGUAACUAAACUUUUUUUAAAAAUUUGAACCCCUUUUGAACUUUUUUAUAAAGAAGAAUAAGCAAGACUAAAAAAAAAAAUGAGAAAAGAGAAAAACAACUUUUAACGGUGGAUCUCUUGGCUCGU